This 274-nucleotide ribosomal RNA is filed under the name uncultured bacterium. Its description in RNAcentral is "partial 16S ribosomal RNA". It matches the Rfam family "Bacterial small subunit ribosomal RNA", at positions 523 to 796 of the family's 1533-position model. The record is from RNAcentral.
AUACGGAGGGUGCAAGCGUUAAUCGGAAUUACUGGGCGUAAAGCGCGCGUAGGCGGUUAUUUAAGUCAGAUGUGACAUCCCUGGGCUCAACCUAGGAACUGCAUCUGAUACUGGGUAACUAGAGUUUUGGAGAGGUAAGUGGAAUUUCCGGUGUAGCGGUGAAAUGCAUAGGGAUCGGAAGGAACACCAGUGGCGAAGGCGACUUACUGGCCAAAAACUGACGCUGAGGUGCGAAAGCGUGGGUAGCGAACAGGAUUAGAUACCCUAGUAGUCC